AGUUAAUGAACUUGUUAAGUAUAUAUUUUGAAAAUAUAAUAAAGAGGCCUUCUCUAUUAACUU
RNAcentral lists this transfer RNA (63 nucleotides) under Pediacus sp. MJ-2020. RNAcentral's name for it is "tRNA-Ser". Lineage: Eukaryota; Metazoa; Arthropoda; Insecta; Coleoptera; Cucujidae. The record is from RNAcentral.